CUAUCAUCAGAUACUAAACAGCAGAGUGACCUUGCUGCUGAAAACUAUAUGGCCUUUGCUGAUUGAUCUGUAGCUGCCUAGUGUUACUUUUUAAUUAUCCAGAUGCUCUGAAUUGCCAGUCUUGAUAAAGGUCCUAUAAUAGGACCGAAACGUCGAAUGUUAAAGGCAACGUUAUGGAACCUGAUUAACCUGAAUAAACUGAUUGACACAUCAAGAUCUUCAAAGUGAUUGAUUUCU
This is a long non-coding RNA of Pseudophryne corroboree (corroboree frog), 237 nucleotides long. RefSeq lists it as uncharacterized. The transcript is spliced from 3 exons. Lineage: Eukaryota; Metazoa; Chordata; Amphibia; Anura; Myobatrachidae. The record is from RefSeq and is a predicted model, not a curated record.